GACGAACGCUGGCGGCGUGCUUAACACAUGCAAGUCGAACGGAAAGGCCCUGCUUUUGUGGGGUGCUCGAGUGGCGAACGGGUGAGUAACACGUGAGUAACCUGCCCUUGACUUUGGGAUAACUUCAGGAAACUGGGGCUAAUACCGGAUAGGAGCUCCUGCUGCAUGGUGGGGGUUGGAAAGUUUCGGCGGUUGGGGAUGGACUCGCGGCUUAUCAGCUUGUUGGUGGGGUAGUGGCUUACCAAGGCUUUGACGGGUAGCCGGCCUGAGAGGGUUACCGGCCACAAUGGGACUGCGAUACGGCCCAGACUCCUACGGGAGGCAGAAGUGGGGAAUAUUGCACAAUGGGCGGAAGCCUGAUGCAGCAACGCCGCGUGCGGGAUGACGGCCUUCGGGUUGUAAACCGCUUUCGCCUGUGACGAAGCGUGAGUGACGGUAAUGGGUAAAGAAGCACCGGCUAACUACGUG
RNAcentral lists this ribosomal RNA (468 nucleotides) under uncultured bacterium. RNAcentral's name for it is "partial 16S ribosomal RNA". It matches the Rfam family "Bacterial small subunit ribosomal RNA", at positions 28 to 507 of the family's 1533-position model. The record is from RNAcentral.